Non-coding RNA from Acyrthosiphon pisum (pea aphid), 59 nucleotides. NCBI's taxonomy places the organism in Eukaryota, Metazoa, Arthropoda, Insecta, Hemiptera, Aphididae. The record is from Rfam.
GUUCUUACACAAUGUCCGGUUAAGUGUCGGUUAACUUUAACCAGACAUUGUGAGAACAG